This 520-nucleotide ribosomal RNA is filed under the name uncultured Glomus. Its description in RNAcentral is "SSU rRNA". It matches the Rfam family "Eukaryotic small subunit ribosomal RNA", at positions 569 to 1087 of the family's 1831-position model. Lineage: Eukaryota; Fungi; Glomeromycota; Glomeromycetes; Glomerales; Glomeraceae. The record is from RNAcentral.
AGCAGCCGCGGUAAUUCCAGCUCCAAUAGCGUAUAUUAAAGUUGUUGCAGUUAAAAAGCUCGUAGUUGAAUUUCGGGGUCAGUAAGUUGGUCGUGCCACUGGUAUGUACUGGCUUUACUGAUUCCUCCUUCUUGUAGAACCGUAAUGCCAUUAAGUUGGUGUUGCGGGAAAACAGGACUGUUACUUUGAAAAAAUUAGAGUGUUUAAAGCAAGCUAACGCUUGAAUACAUUAGCAUGGAAUAAUGAAAUAGGACGUUCGAUCCUAUUUUGUUGGUUUCUAGGAUUGACGUAAUGAUUAAUAGGGAUAGUUGGGGGGCAUUAGUAUUCAAUUGUCAGAGGUGAAAUUCUUGGAUUUAUUGAAGACUAACUACUGCGAAAGCAUUUUGCCAAGGAUGUUUUCAUUAAUCAAGAACGAAAGUUAGGGGGAUCGAAGGCGAUCAGAUACCGUCGUAGUCUUAACCAUAAACUAUGCCGACUAGGAAUCAGACGAUGUUAAUUUUUUAAUGACUCGUUUGGCACC